GUCUGGGAGCAUGCGUCGGUGCUACGCUUUGUGACAUCCACAGCACCAUGGAACUGCGUUGGGUCCUGGAUGGCAACCACCCAGGAAGACAACUGGUCUAUUCCCACAACACU
Thalassophryne amazonica is the source of this 113-nucleotide long non-coding RNA. RefSeq lists it as uncharacterized. The record is from RefSeq and is a predicted model, not a curated record. The transcript is spliced from 3 exons. NCBI's taxonomy places the organism in Eukaryota, Metazoa, Chordata, Actinopteri, Batrachoidiformes, Batrachoididae.